Pimephales promelas (fathead minnow) is the source of this 275-nucleotide non-coding RNA. The record is from RefSeq and is a predicted model, not a curated record. NCBI's taxonomy places the organism in Eukaryota, Metazoa, Chordata, Actinopteri, Cypriniformes, Leuciscidae.
GUUGUGGAAACCUGCACAUCCAGCAUACAGCUACUUUUUCAGAGCAAGGAAACUGGAAAAGAAGACCAGGAACCAAACCUGAAAGGUCUUCCUUUUGCGUCUCAUCAGUUAAUGGAGCGUGUGCUUUCACUCGCAGUCUGAAGAGUCACAGCACCUCAAUAGAGUCUGAAUGGACAGAUGAAAAUGACAACAUCCUAUAUGGUUCCUAUGAUGCAUCUCUAACACAGCAGCUGACUGAAGACUGUGAUCUCAGGACUGACCUGAUCGGCCUGCUC